UUAGGUAGAGCGUUGCGUGAUUACCGACGGGGGUAGAGCACUGGAUGGGCUAGGGGGGAGAUAAUCCUUACCAAACCUAACCAAACUCCGAAUACCGACGAGUUCAGCAUGGCAGACAGACUGCGGGUGCUAAGGUCCGUAGUCGAAAGGGAAACAGCCCAGACCGCCAGCUAAGGUCCCCAAGUCAUGGCUAAGUGGGAAAGGAUGUGGGAAGGCCAAUACAACCAGGAGGUUGGCUUAGAAGCAGCCAUCCUUUAAAGAAAGCGUAACAGCUCACUGGUCUAAAUAAGCCAUCCUGCGCCGAAGAUGUAUCGGGGCUCAAGCCAUGCACCGAAGCUGCGGGUAUCAGAGGACAGUUGACAGAUGUCAAAGGACAGAAAAGAGCUGUCCGAGGCAGGCUCGUUCGAAGUCUUGGACGUCUUCGAGCGGGUCUAUCGGAUAUUUCUUGAAGUCCACAGGGCCGAUCUAUGUUUUUCGGAUGGAAAGCAUAGGGCGAUGGCCGACCAGGUUCGGCGUGUGAGCAAAUCCAUCUGCGCGAGUAUUGCGGAAGGGUUUGGCAGGCAGAGCCAGGCGCCGGCGAAUUUCCAGCGUUUCUUGACGGUGGCGGUCGGAUCGAGCAAUGAGAUGCGGGUGUGGCCCGCUUCUGUUUCGAUCUGAGCGACAUUGAUGAAGAGCGUUGGCAGCACUGGUGCAACGAGUUUAAGGAGAUUUCAAAGAUGCUUCGGGAUUUGGCGAAAGCCAUCUCGAAUAGUAUCUGAUCUCUGACUUCUGUCAUCUGUCCUCUGAUGCGGUAGCGGAGCGUUCCGUAAGCCUGUGAAGGUGUCCUGCGAGGGGCGCUGGAGGUAUCGGAAGUGAGAAUGCUGACAUGAGUAGCGACAAAGAGUGUGAGAAACACUCUCGCCGUAAGUCCAAGGGUUCCUGCGCAAGGCUAAUCCGCGCAGGGUGAGCCGGCCCCUAAGGCGAGGGCGAAAGCCGUAGUCGAUGGGAAUCAGGUUAAUAUUCCUGAGCCUGCUGGAAGUGACGAAUGCCGUGAAUUGUAUCCGCUUAUCGGAUUGUGGAUGCGGUGAAGGUGUUCCAGGAAAUAACUCCAGCUUAUAGACCGUACCCUAAACCGACACAGGUGGAUUGGUAGAGUAUACCCAGGCGCUUGAGAGAACGAUGUUGAAGGAACUCGGCAAAAUACCUCCGUAACUUCGGGAGAAGGAGGCCCUCGGCGUGGGCAACCAUGUUGGGGGGGCACAGACCAGGGGGUGGCGACUGUUUAUUAAAAACACAGGGCUCUGCGAAGCCGCAAGGCGAAGUAUAGGGUCUGACGCCUGCCCGGUGCUGGAAGGUUAAGAGGAGCGGUUAGAGUAAUCGAAGCUGCGAAUCGAAGCCCCAGUAAACGGCGGCCGUAACUAUAACGGUCCUAAGGUAGCGAAAUUCCUUGUCGGGUAAGUUCCGACCUGCACGAAUGGCGUAACGACUUCCCCGCUGUCUCCAACAUCAACUCAGUGAAAUUGAAUUCUCCGUGAAGAUGCGGAGUUCCCGUGGUUAGACGGAAAGACCCCGUGCACCUUUACUGCAACUUUACAUUGGUAUCAGAAACG
RNAcentral lists this ribosomal RNA (1589 nucleotides) under marine metagenome. RNAcentral describes it as "bacterial LSU rRNA". It matches the Rfam family "Bacterial large subunit ribosomal RNA", at positions 870 to 2131 of the family's 2925-position model. The record is from RNAcentral.